ACACAACGUGUCAGCGCGGGGUGACCCGACGGGGCUGUGCAGGGCGACGCGACGCAGGCUGCAUGGGUAACUGGAAUAAAUUUUCAUCCCUAACGAUGAGCGCGUUCCACGACUCGGCCGGCGGGGAGGGCAGCGAGAAGCCGCUGCUCUACUCGCGGGACCACGCGAGGGCGGCCAAGUACAACUGCAACUUCGACCUGUACCAGUCGUCGGUGGCCAACUGGUGUGACGCUCUACCUCCGCAUCUCGCCUGACCCGCCAGCCCGUGGCGAGCCGCCGGAGAACUGCCCGUGAGCGAUCUCUUGUCCCCUCACCUAGUGGUUGUAACCCAGAGAUGAUAAUUGUUGUAGCAGGUUUUUCACAGUAAGAUCCAAUUUCUGUUCUAUUGUUCA
Molecule: long non-coding RNA, 392 nt
Organism: Phragmites australis (common reed)
Lineage: Eukaryota; Viridiplantae; Streptophyta; Magnoliopsida; Poales; Poaceae
Exons: 2
Source: RefSeq, a predicted model, not a curated record